AUUUGCUUAGAGAAGAGUCAAAAA
This 24-nucleotide small nuclear RNA is filed under the name Arabidopsis thaliana (thale cress). Its description in RNAcentral is "snRNA_07451". The record is from RNAcentral. Lineage: Eukaryota; Viridiplantae; Streptophyta; Magnoliopsida; Brassicales; Brassicaceae.